RNAcentral lists this ribosomal RNA (405 nucleotides) under uncultured bacterium. Its description in RNAcentral is "partial 16S ribosomal RNA". It matches the Rfam family "Bacterial small subunit ribosomal RNA", at positions 30 to 527 of the family's 1533-position model. The record is from RNAcentral.
AUUGAACGCUGGCGGCAGGCCUAACACAUGCAAGUCGAACGAGUGGCGGACGGGGGUGUGAUGUUUGGGAAUCUGGCUUCUGGAGGGGGAUAACUACGGGAAACUGUAGCUAAACCCGCGUACCAUAGGAUGUGCCCAAUUGGGAAUGGGUAGUUGGUGGGGUAAAGGCUCUACAAGCCGACGAUCGCUAGCUGGUCUGAGAGGAUGACCAGUCACACUGGGACUGAGACACGGCCCAGACUCCUACGGGAGGCAGCAGUGGGGAAUAUUGCGCAAUGGGGGCAACCUGACGCAGCCAUGCCGCGUGAAUGAAGAAGGCCUUCGGGUUGGAAAGCUCUUUCGGUAGGGAGGCGUUACCUGCAGAAGAAGCACCGGCUAACUCCGUGCCAGCCGCCGCGGUAAUUG